Astatotilapia calliptera (eastern happy) is the source of this 1039-nucleotide long non-coding RNA. NCBI's taxonomy places the organism in Eukaryota, Metazoa, Chordata, Actinopteri, Cichliformes, Cichlidae. The record is from Ensembl.
GCUAGUUAAAAUUUAAAGAAAAGUCCAGCACUCCCUUAAAGUCUCAUAUUUGAGCACACAUAAUUAGAAAAGCUUCACCUUGCAAAAGAUAAUUAGUGACAAUUUCUGAAUGGUAUAUACUUGACUUUCAAAAUACUAAGCAAGCAUCUAGAAUACUUUUUUAGCAUGAAAUUCUCAGUCACAGAAAUGAAGCAAAUCCCAUCUGGAGUUUCCAGAUGGUACUCUAAUUAUAACUCAAAAAAUAUUUUAGUUAACUAUACUACUGCAUAUUUUUCACUUUCAAGCCCUGGGUUGCUCCAAUAUCAAAUGAACAAAUAUUUAGAACAUUUUCUAUACUGCUAUCAAAUCCUGUCACAGACAGUAAAAAACACAGAACACUGCUAGGCUUUUCCUUUAAGCUUUUGGGGUCUGAUUGUAGGCUCUGAUCUGUUUCUGUAUUUAAAAUACCAGAUUUCAUCCUCCUUUGUUAUGUUCACUAGCAAAAGGGAAAUAUUCUUGCGUCUUUCACUUAUGAGCAAAAUUAAAAUCAAUGUGCCUCACAAAAAAAUAAUGCUCUCUUUGGAUUACUCUACAGUAAAAAAAAAAAAAGAGAUGAAAAAAAGGAAAAGAAAAUAGGUUGUUUAGAAUUUGAUUUGAUUGAACAAUUUCUUUCUCAGCAUGCCACCACCACCUGCGUGACUCUAAUAUUUUCUUUCUUACGCCCCAUUUGUUUUCAAUUUUUAGUCAUUCCUGUCAUGUCCUAUCCCUCUCUGCAUCUCACCAUCUCUCUCACAGAGAGCAAAGUGUUACAGAUAAAGAGUUGGAGUUUUGCAAUUACAAAGGCAAGAAAAGGCAAACUGUACCUCACCAUGUACAUAGACUGCUAUCAGUUAAUGGCACUCCAUUUAUCCACAAACUGAAACUGAAACUGAACAAACUGGAAAAUAAGUUUUUUUACAUCAGCGGGUAAUUUUUGUGCUACGCUGAUUGUUGCCAUAACGAUCUUAAAUCAUUGUCUGAUGACAACAUGACAUGACAGCAAUUUAUUACACUAUCCUAC